AGUCGAGCGCCCCGCAAGGGGAGCGGCAGACGGGUGAGUAACGCGUGGGGAUGUGCCUGGUGGUACGGAACAACUCAGGGAAACUUGAGCUAAUGCCGUAUAAGCCCUUCGGGGGAAAGAUUUAUCGCCACCAGAUCAACCCGCGUUGGAUUAGCUAGUUGGUGAGGUAACGGCUCACCAAGGCGACGAUCCAUAGCUGGUCUGAGAGGAUGAUCAGCCACACUGGGACUGAGACACGGCCCAGACUCCUACGGGAGGCAGCAGUGGGGAAUAUUGGACAAUGGGCGCAAGCCUGAUCCAGCCAUGCCGCGUGAGUGAUGAAGGCCUUAGGGUUGUAAAGCUCUUUCACUGGGGAAGAUAAUGACGGUACCCAGAGAAGAAGCCCCGGCU
RNAcentral lists this ribosomal RNA (390 nucleotides) under Methylopila capsulata. RNAcentral describes it as "bacterial SSU rRNA". It matches the Rfam family "Bacterial small subunit ribosomal RNA", at positions 60 to 498 of the family's 1533-position model. The record is from RNAcentral. Lineage: Bacteria; Pseudomonadati; Pseudomonadota; Alphaproteobacteria; Hyphomicrobiales; Methylopilaceae.